RNA transcript from Dermacentor albipictus, 1611 nucleotides. It is a transcript of the gene named zinc finger protein 2-like, with no coding region annotated. The record is from RefSeq and is a predicted model, not a curated record. Lineage: Eukaryota; Metazoa; Arthropoda; Arachnida; Ixodida; Ixodidae.
GACGCGCAUGUGUAGUGCCAUGUCUCGACACCAGGUGCUAGUUCCGGCACAAGUAGCAGGAAUUCGCCGUGGCGCGCCCUCCAAGAUUGCGCGGAAUUUGACCGCACCUGCAUUACCGCGCCCUAGGAAGUCACCCGCUCCACUCUCCGUACGGGACGGGCGACUAUGGCCGGGAAAGAAACAGCUCGACCCUACUUGACGAUGUCGGGCGGCAGCUGCAACGUCGGCCAGGGUAGAAGCAGUGCAGCCUCUGAUCUGAACGAAAGCAGGAAGUCGCCGCCUCCACGGUCCGUACGGGACGAGGUGACUGUGGCCCGGAAAGAAACAGCUCGACCCUACUUUACGAUGUCGAGCGGCCACUACAACUUGGCCCCGGGUACAAGCAGUGCACCCUCUGAUCUGGACGGAAGCAAUGGCCGCUGUUUGGUGGGGAGAGCGCAAGGCUGAGAUAUAGAUGGAAAAGGAAAGUUGCAAAGCUGGCUUGACGCAUACUGCCACAUCGCAGCAUAAAAAGUGUUCCCGCCGAAACCAGAGAAGCAGCGGGGCACCAGCGAGACAACCAGGCUGCCUACAGAAAGCAAGAGUGCGACGUGUGCCGGUUCGCUUUCACCGACGCGGAGGCCUUCGAAAAGCACGCCGCUGACCACGUGCUUGGGAAAAAACACAACUGUCCCGAGUGUGGUAAACUGUUUCCGACGCCUUCGAAGCUCACGAGACAUUUAGCUACACACGGCGAACCAUCCUUUGAGUGCGCCGUCUGCGGCAAAAAAUAUUAUACCAUAGGUGGGCACAGGAACCAUAUGCUGUCAUGCCACCUAGGCGCACACGACUGAGAAGCCGUCGAAGCGUCUCGUUCACACCACAGCACACACAGCGAAAUUGGACGAGCCCGUCGGGAAGCACCGUCGCACCUGACAGGGGCAUCGGCAUCGGUGUAGCCGGAUAUUCGCCUGGCAGGAGUGACCUCUCUGGAUGUCACUCUGGCGCCAAGACGUGUCGUGUGCCUUCGCAGAAGAACUUGCGGUCUAGGCCUCAACUGUUAUAGCUGUGCGCUAACAUUUUGACAAACAAAAUUGGGCUAAUCUUAUUCCUUCUGACUACGGCUGACAAAUGCCUGCCAAUAAAGUUCUUACAAUAAAGUUAUCGCGAGGAGUACUGUGCGCCACCUGUUUGAUUUUCUUCGAAGAACGCGUCCGUUCUUCGCAGUCCUCUUGCCAUGGUUAAAAUAAAUUUAUAUGCCUCCUGGAUUGAACAAAAGAGUGAGAUAACAUUCUUCGAAAAUAUAGUAGUAAAGAUAUCUAUAGUAGCAUUCUUAAUAGUGAAGUUGAGUAAAGUGCCGUCCUAAUAUUCUCGAGUUUUCUGGUAAAGUUAUGAAUAGGUUUAGCGCCCUGCAUUGUACAAACAACAUAGUACGCAUUUUUUUUUCAAUGGAGGAAGCUCAAGACUGCCCGGAAAAACGCGAUGCUCAUAGCGGAAAAAACAGCUUCACUAGUCGGCUUAGCUGGUGCAUGUAAACAUUGCGGAGGCUAAUAAAUGGACUUUAAUGAUGAUGCUUUGCUCCCAUUCCCUGAAAAAUGCCUGCGAAUAAAUUGAUUGCACUGGUUAUCUUGA